CUGGUCUACAAAUUUUAAGAAGUUGUCUGCUUCAAAAAUAUAAUGUGCUAUUUAUGAUGGAUUUUGGCAUACUGAAUUCAAAUAUGACAAUAAAAAUGACUGGGUGGUUACUGUUUCUAACAUAUUUAAGUAUUUACAUUUUAAGUAACAUUAGAUUAUUUAU
This is a long non-coding RNA of Thalassophryne amazonica, 163 nucleotides long. RefSeq lists it as uncharacterized. The record is from RefSeq and is a predicted model, not a curated record. The transcript is spliced from 3 exons. NCBI's taxonomy places the organism in Eukaryota, Metazoa, Chordata, Actinopteri, Batrachoidiformes, Batrachoididae.